UUCGGGAUUGGUCAAGUAUGGUACAACAACUUUCAACCUGUGACAGAGGAUGUAGAAUAUAAGAAAAUAAAUAAAGCUUAAUCUACCUAUCAUCUAUGAAAAUAAUUCAAAGAAAUUUAAUCUUCAUAAUUUAAAAAUUCAUAUUAGUGUGUGUGUGUAAUAACUGCAACAUAGAUUAGUUAACACAAUUAACUUGUGAUGGAGGCAGAAGAAAUAAUUGGAAUAUAGAUUGGGAGCAGGAGAAACAACAUUUAAUUCUUAAAUUUAAAGGAAAACUAAUGAAAAGGGUUUGAAAACUUUGAGUUUUAAUGAUAAGGACAAAAUAAAGGGUAAAGUGAAUAGUAUCAGGAUUGACUUUUUAGUGUAAAAAUGUGGUUUUUCGUUAAAGUGAACAGUACCGGGUGCUUUUCGUUAAAGUUCCCUAAAUUUAAUCCUAAAAUGGUUUUCUGUUCUUAUCCCAUCUCAUGCAUAUCACCCCAUGGGUGGAAAACUAUAUGUCCUUGCUCAACCUGCAUGCCCAUCCGGUGAAGGACCUUCGUCUGAAUCGUUCAAAAAAGGCGACUUGGAGGUGGCUCAUUGGUGCACAUUAAACAACUGUGAUGAAGUCUCGUCAUUCCACUAAUAGCAUAGGGCAUUAAUGAAGGCCUGAUAUCCUUCAAAUUGGGUUAAAAUGCACAGACAAUCAUUUUCGCAUUGGAUUUCCCGAGUUUGAUUUUAUUUUAAAACUACAGCUUUAUCCAAACUCACCUGUAUGAUCAAGGUCUUACAAAUAUUCUCAACCUUCAUGACAGGGCCGUCUCUUAGAUUUUGGACGUCCUGUGCAAAAUAUAUAAAUGGGCCCCUUCUCAAGAUAGUUUUCCAAAUAAAGUAGGACAAUGUAUUAAUGCUCAAAAGCAAUAACUUAAAUAGUUUUCCAAAAAAAAGUAGGACAAUGUAUUAAUGCUAUAAAGCAAUAACUUAAAUCAAAACAAAGUUUCAAUAACUUAAAUCAAAACAAAGUUUAGGACUCACUAAUUCUAAGUUUACAAAUGUCAUUAAAUAAGUAAAAGAGUUACAAACAUAAAUAAUCAAAACAAAUUCAAUCUUAAACAACCAAACAAGAAAAAAAAACUUCAAACUCUAAUUUUAAUUUUGCACUUGAAUAUAUAGCAUUAUUAUAUAUUGGCACUCCAAAUAUAUUAUUGUGUACUCCAAAUUUUUAUAUUUAGAAAAAAAAAAAAAAACAAAAACAAAAACACUUAUAAGAAUUGCAGAUUGUGAUUUUAAAGUGCUAAUAAAGCAAUUUUUUAAUAUAUCAAGGGUAUUGUGCAAUUGCAUCUUUUGAUCCCCCUCUAAAGCUGCCUAUUCUUCAUGAUGUAAUCAAAUAGCGAAGAGCAGUGUUUUUUGGCAUAUUCAUCGACAAAAUUGAGAAGUCAUAGCAGAGGAUGACGAAAUAUGGUGUCUAAGUUUGACAAUUUUUUUCAUUAGGAAAAUGAUUUCUGCAUACCAUGCAUUUUACUUCUCAUGAACACUUCUGACCUUCAAAUCGAUUGAAACAAAUAAAAUUGCCGUGUAGAAAAGGAGAAUUAGGUUGUGUGGAAAUCAUUUCUUUUGUUAUGACAAUGGAGAAGUCAUUCCAGUCCAAUUUUUUUUCAGGUUUCCUAAAUAAAACUACAAAAUGCUUCUAAAACGGAAAGACAUUCACCUCUCACCUAGCUAGCUUGCUCCCUUCUGCAAGUCCUGAUGAAAUUUCUUUUUGUGAGUCAUUUAUUGAUUUAUGUUGUAGCACUUUAUUUCAAUUUUUUACUAUAACAUGAUUGAUUGCUACCUUAUAAAAUCAUCCUAACAAUAACUCAGCCUUUCAUUACCAAGUCACUGAAAUAUUUUUAAUUUGUCAAAUAUGGCUGCUAGAAUUUGAGUAAUAUAUAGUUUUUAUUUUUAGUAUUGGUGUGUCCACAAAAAUAAAAAAGGAUUGCUACUAGAAACCUUAAUGAUAAAUCACGAGCAGGUGGUCCAAUGGUAAGGGCGGAUAGCGAGACUUCCUUCAAACUAAAAACUGGAGGUCUCAAAUUUGAAACCCGUUGCUAGUGUGGAAGCCAGACUUGUUGCCAGGAGGAGGCUGAAAUGCCUCUGUUAGUCUUCUCGGGCCCUGAAAGGAGUGGAUAACCGUGGCUUGCCACCAGUUAUCCCCCUUUAUAAAAAAAAAAAAUGGGAGAAAAAAAAAACCUUAAUGAUAAAGUUUUACGUAGCCUCCAAGGACUAAGGAUAGUUUGAAGAAUAUUGUGGAUGCAAAUUUCCGUCGUCUUCAGUCUUGACGAAAAUGCAUCUACAAAACAAUUAACGCUUUUGAUCAAAGACCUAAGCCUCGCGCCCACGAGGUGCGAAGGGGGGGGGUUAGGUCAACGGAUCUCUGAUGCCUAAGUUAGUUUCUCUCAGAGAGUAAAGUGUUUUGAGGUUUUUUAGGGUUGUCAAAAGCUCUAAGAAAUUGGUAGAAUAUGGAGCAUUUAUAGGGCUAGGGCCGGCCAUUUAGGGUUUUAAUGGAGAAAAUAUUCUCUAAAUAUUCCCAAGAUAUUUAAUAGGAGAUAAUAUCUUGUGAUAAUAGGGUAAUAAUCCUUAAUUGGUUUAAAUUAGGAUUACUUACUUGAUUGGAGUCAAUCUUCAAUUUGGAAUGUAUUAAAGAUAGGAUUUGGGUAAUUAAUCCUUAUCUUUAAUUCCUUGCCAUGGGCAGGUGAGCUGUGGGCAGUUGUGUUCAGCUACUGAGUCCUCCAGGGAUGUGAGUUGUGCGUGGGAGAAUCUAAGAAGUCUGCCCAUUUAUUAAGGGCAAUCUUGUCCUUCUUGAAUAAAAGUUCACGUGUUGCCACUAGAAUUUUUUGGGAUUAUUUUUUGCUCCACAAAUGCCCCCACACCUAUUGUGUUGCACGCAUGGAUAGGGAAGUAGGUGUAGAAAUCUCAAGCUGCUUGGGUUUGUAGAGUUGUUGCCCAAUUUGAACUUGAUCUUCUUCCUUGAUUGGGAGAUAGACUUCUUCUAGGAAAAGGAAAAUAAUUGCCCCCAAUACCUAUUUAAUUAUGCCUUAAGCAGGGGAUUAAAUAAAUUUCGAGAACAAUCAUUAUUCCAACAAGAAAGAGAAGCCGGAGGAUAUUUUUUCUUCCCCCUCCCCUAGCGUUCUUCUUUUCUUGCCCUUGCGAAGAGUCGUUUCUCGUUGUCCUUCUUCUCCAUGCUGCACCAAGGUAAGAAAAAUUUGAAUUUUUUCUUCUUGAAUUUUUGGGAGCCUUGGGGGCUUGAAAGAUUGGCUUGGAAGAUGCCAAGGAUGCAUGAAUGGCGUGGCAGGGAGGCCACGGGCUACAGGAGGUGCAGCAAGGGUCUUGAUUGUCUUGCAGGUGCAUUUUCAUCAAGACUCAAGACGGCGGAAAUUUGCAUCCACAAAUAUGUGUUAGAGUAAAAUUGGAAAUUUUAACAAAACGUUUAAGUAUGUCUUAGAAUAGUACAUAUUUUUGGUUGCAUUAUUUUAGUUUAAGUUUGUCUCUUAUUGUCUCACGGUCACAAAAACUAUCAAGCAUCUCAGAGACACUCACUCAAAUAAGUUUGUCGUGCAUAUAGAUUUUUUUUUUGGAAUAAUUGAAAGUAUAAAAGAAGCGGCCCAGUUUCGUUGUUGUGGAUAAUGAAACCAGGUGUUAGUGUUGGUUAAUUGAUGUUUUUUCUUCUUCUAAAAACCUGAGUCAUGGCCACUUAGUACAAUGGUCUAGUGGUAUUUCUCUUUACUUGUAAGUGAGAGGUCUUAGGUUCGAUUGUCGCCAAAGGCGAACUUGAACCACCUUAAUGUUAUCCCAUUAGAAGGCUAAGUCAUCCCCCUCAUCAUUGGUGUAGAUAAUACCGUUUGUUAAAAAAACUGGGUCAUGCAUAUUUUUAUGUGACUUAGUCUUUAUGUUGUGCAUGUAAAAGGAGACUUUAAUUUCAGGGGUACUUUUAUUUAGGUCUAAAAAAUUUAAGUUGUUAUUGGAUUUAGUCCAGUGUCCAAUUUUUCUACCUUAAUUAAUUUUUUUAAAUUAGAUUUCUUGAUUUAUUCAUCUUUAUUCAUAUUUUUUGUUG
This 4066-nucleotide long non-coding RNA is filed under the name Malus domestica (apple). Its description in RNAcentral is "long non-coding RNA (MDOM_LNC017354)". The record is from RNAcentral. Lineage: Eukaryota; Viridiplantae; Streptophyta; Magnoliopsida; Rosales; Rosaceae.